This is a long non-coding RNA of Hevea brasiliensis (rubber tree), 1453 nucleotides long. RefSeq lists it as uncharacterized. Lineage: Eukaryota; Viridiplantae; Streptophyta; Magnoliopsida; Malpighiales; Euphorbiaceae. The record is from RefSeq and is a predicted model, not a curated record. The transcript has 4 exons.
GUAUGAUAGUUCAACAAUUUAAUUAUUACCAUCUUGAAUUGAAGAUUCCAUUCCUUCAGCAAACCCUUGGAAAGAAGAAUUCAAUCUGAGGGCAAAAAACUGAUCUUCAUUGCCAUCACAAUCCUUGUCUUAUUCUUCAAGAUUGGAGCAAUCAAUUUUCGCAGAGCCUUCUUUGUAGAAGGCCAGAUCAUCACCGCCCUAAGAAUUACAAUCUUCUUCUUCAAGAUUUGAACAAUCUAGAUUUGUUCACCCUUGUAGUGGCAAUGGCAAGACCCAAUUCUUGAGCUAGUAAUUCCAAGAUUUGAUUCAUUUUUUUUAUUCAGUUCUCGCUUCCAUUAUUGGUCCAUCUCGAAGGUUGCAUGCAUUUCCUAGCUCUAGUCUUGAAUUUUCUGCUCCCAAGAUUGCAUUCGUUCCUCAAGACUUAGAAGCUUGGAGUUUCCCCUCACUUGUUUCUUUUUCAACAGUUUUGCUAAAGAAGCAAUAGUCAGGUCCUUAGAAUCGUUGGGCUCUGAUAACAAUUGUUGUGACCAUGCCACAACCAAACAGAAAAUAGAGGAAGGGGGAAAGAAAAUAGAAGAAAGGGAAGGAAAACAGAGGAAAGGGGGAAGAAAGGGAGAAGAAUAAGGGGAGAAAUAGAGAGAUCGUGGGAGAGAGACAGAUAAAGAGAGACUCCAGAGAAUUCUUGAAUUAUUUGAUUGAUAUCCAAAAUUACAACUCAAUUCCCUAUUUAUAGUAGUACAUGUAUAACAAUUAAUCCUAACAAUUCCCUAUUUGAUUGUUAAGUUUUUGCAUACUUGCUCGACAUUUUCUUAGUGUCAUAUAUUGCUAUAUGGUGUUACUAAAUCUCUGCACUAUUUCAGUUCCAUCAAAGGAUCCAUUACCAAAGCGUUCUUCAAUUUGGACAUAGAAUUGUUUUGUAGCCUUUACUCUUGAAAGAAUAUGUGAAAGAAUGCCAACUCGAAAGGAAAAUUUGUUGCCAUUGCAGAUCUUGAACGAUGGGAAUAUACUAGCAGUGACAUUUGUGGAUAUAUAGCUACACUAUUAGUACUAAAGAUAAGUUUUGUUCAGAACAAAAAAAUUUGAAUUGCACUCUACUUGAUGACAUUGAUGAGAGCCAGCUCCCUGAUAUAUGUGGAGGCAGACGACCAUUAGUUCCUAUCCAAGACAGCUAACCUGAUGACUCGCACCGCAUUGGAUGCUUCAGCUUUCUGCUUUACAAUUGGAAGGCUUCAUGAACCAAACAUAAGAUAAAAAUGAUAUUUGAUCCCUGCAUAUCUUUCUUCUCCCCUUAGUUUGUAAUCCUUCAACUGAGCCACAUUAAUUGGGUCACAAAUUUAAUUUUUAACUCUUGUUGAUAGUCUAUAGUUUAUACAGUUCAGAUAAAGAAAUGACUACCUCAUUGUCUCACCAUAUCUGUGAAAUGAUAAGCAUCCGCGGAGUCAGCUUUCAAGUA